This 374-nucleotide ribosomal RNA is filed under the name uncultured bacterium. RNAcentral describes it as "bacterial SSU rRNA". It matches the Rfam family "Bacterial small subunit ribosomal RNA", at positions 525 to 896 of the family's 1533-position model. The record is from RNAcentral.
ACGUAGGGUGCGAGCGUUAAUCGGAAUUACUGGGCGUAAAGCGUACGCAGAUGGCGUGAUAGGUGAGUUGUGAAAUCUUGUGGCUCAACCAUAUAGACUAUGACUCAAACCAUCACACUAGAGGUUGGUAGAGGCAAGCGGAAUUCCCGGUGUAGCAGUGACAUGCGUAGAUAUCGGAAGGAACACCAAUGGCGAAGGCAGCUUGCUGGGCCACACCUGACGUUAAGGUACGAAAGCGUGGGGAGCGAACGGGAUUAGAUACCCCGGUAGUCCACGCCGUAAACGAUGGAUACUAGUGGUAUGGAGAUUCGACCCUCUGUGUCACGAAGCUAACGCGAUAAGUAUCCCGCCUGGGGAGUACGAACGCAAGUUUA